UGGGCAACCUGCCCCUCUCUCUGGGAUAACCCCGGGAAACCGGAGCUAAUACCGGAUACUCCGGCUGGAUCGCAUGGUCCGGCCGGGAAAGGUCCGCCGGAGAGGGAUGGGCCCGCGGCCUAUCAGCUUGUUGGUGGGUCAUGGCUCACCAAGGCGACGACGGGUAGCUGGUCUGAGAGGACGACCAGCCACACUGGAACUGAGAUACGGUCCAGACUCCGUACGGGAGGCA
RNAcentral lists this ribosomal RNA (232 nucleotides) under uncultured bacterium. RNAcentral's name for it is "partial 16S ribosomal RNA". It matches the Rfam family "Bacterial small subunit ribosomal RNA", at positions 118 to 350 of the family's 1533-position model. The record is from RNAcentral.